CCUACGGGAGGCUGCAGUGGGGAAUAUUGGACAAUGGGCGAAAGCCUGAUCCAGCCAUGCCGCGUGUGUGAAGAAGGCCUUCGGGUUGUAAAGCACUUUCAGUGGGGAAGAAAGCCUUGGGGCUAAUACCCUCGAGGAAGGACAUCACCCACAGAAGAAGCACCGGCUAACUCCGUGCCAGCAGCCGCGGUAAUACGGAGGGUGCGAGCGUUAAUCGGAAUUACUGGGCGUAAAGCGCGCGUAGGCGGUCUGAUAAGCCGGUUGUGAAAGCCCCGGGCUCAACCUGGGAACGGCAUCCGGAACUGUCAGGCUAGAGUGCAGGAGAGGAAGGUAGAAUUCCCGGUGUAGCGGUGAGAUGCGUAGAGAUCGGGAGGAAUACCAGUGGCGAAGGCGGCCUUCUGGACUGACACUGACGCUGAGGUGCGAAAGCAUGGGUAGCAAACAGGAUUAGAUACCCGGGUAGUC
Molecule: ribosomal RNA, 465 nt
Filed under: Vreelandella stevensii
Lineage: Bacteria; Pseudomonadati; Pseudomonadota; Gammaproteobacteria; Oceanospirillales; Halomonadaceae
Description: partial 16S ribosomal RNA
Rfam family: Bacterial small subunit ribosomal RNA
Source: RNAcentral